Molecule: ribosomal RNA, 411 nt
Filed under: uncultured bacterium
Lineage: Bacteria
Description: bacterial SSU rRNA
Rfam family: Bacterial small subunit ribosomal RNA
Source: RNAcentral
GAUGAACGCUGGCGGCGUGCCUAAUACAUGCAAGUCGAACGCACAGCGAAAGGUGCUUGCACCUUUCAAGUGAGUGGCGAACGGGUGAGUAACACGUGGAUAACCUACCUCAAGGUUGGGGAUAACAUUUGGAAACAGAUGCUAAUACCGAAUAAAACUUAGUAUCGCAUGAUACCAGGUUAAAAGGCGCUACGGCGUCACCUAGAGAUGGAUCCGCGGUGCAUUAGUUAGUUGGUGGGGUAAAGGCUUACCAAGACAAUGAUGCAUAGCCGAGUUGAGAGACUGAUCGGCCACAUUGGGACUGAGACACGGCCCAAACUCCUACGGGAGGCUGCAGUAGGGAAUCUUCCACAAUGGGCGAAAGCCUGAUGGAGCAACGCCGCGUGUGUGAUGAAGGCUUUUCGGGUCGGU